UCCCCGUUACCGGGGCAGUCUAGCCAGAAAAAUUCAACUGGCUACAAGGGUUGCGCUCGUUGAUGGACUUAACCAAACAUCUCACGACACGAGCUGACGACGGCCAUGCAACACCUGUCACUACGGCUCGAAAGCACUUUCUCCUUUCGGAGAAAUAAGUAGGAUGUCAAACCCUGGUAAGGUUCUUCGCUUAUCCUCGAAUUAAACAACACGCUCCACCGCUUGUGCGGGUCCCCGUCAAUUCCUUUAUGUUUUAGCCUUGCGGCCGUACUCCACAGGCGGGAUGCUUAACGCGUUAGCUUCGCUACUACCAGGGUCGAUACUGAUAACAGCUAGCAUCCAUCGUUUACGGCGUGGACUAC
This 362-nucleotide unclassified non-coding RNA is filed under the name uncultured bacterium. RNAcentral's name for it is "contains 16S-23S intergenic spacer region". The record is from RNAcentral.